GCUGCGAUGACCGAGUGGUUAAGGCGUUGGACUUGAAAUCCAAUGGGAUCUUCCCGCGUAGGUUCGAACCCUACUCGCAGCG
Molecule: transfer RNA, 82 nt
Filed under: Strongylocentrotus purpuratus (purple sea urchin)
Lineage: Eukaryota; Metazoa; Echinodermata; Echinoidea; Camarodonta; Strongylocentrotidae
Description: tRNA-Ser (TGA) (tRNA-Ser-TGA-7-1)
Rfam family: tRNA
About the family: Transfer RNA (tRNA) molecules are approximately 80 nucleotides in length. Their secondary structure includes four short double-helical elements and three loops (D, anti-codon, and T loops).
Source: Rfam by way of RNAcentral